This 1389-nucleotide long non-coding RNA is filed under the name Phaseolus vulgaris (common bean). Its description in RNAcentral is "long non-coding RNA (PVUL_LNC003397)". The record is from RNAcentral. Lineage: Eukaryota; Viridiplantae; Streptophyta; Magnoliopsida; Fabales; Fabaceae.
UUAAAAAAAAACCACAACCCCUCCCCCUGCGCACAGUUUCUUUCUUCUUCUUUUUCUUCCUUAUCUCUAUUUUUCUCUCUUUCCAUAUUCUCUUCUUUCCCUCUCUCUUAAUUUUCUCUCCCAAUCUUCAUCUAUUUUAGAAUCUGAUCAGACCACGUUGUAGAUGACGAGUUAAGGAACAUUUCUACCCGAUCAGAUUUUCAAACAGAGUAAGUUUAUUUUUACUCUAAAUAUCCUUUGUUUUCUGUUUUUCCUUAGGAUUUAGUCAUCAAUCUUGGUGGGGUCAGUUGAGAAGUUUAAUCCUCUCAACUUAUUCUAUUAUAUACUGAAAUUUUGUUCUGUUUGGAUAAUUUUCAUUAGGCCCGUAAAUCUUGAAGUUUAUCCAAACGGUGGGGAAUAAAAUUCUAAAAGUUGCUUGGAAAGCAAGCAAUUGAGGUAAGGGAAGCUAAAUUUAAUUUUUAAUAGCACCCUAGGAUAGAAGAUCUGAAUGCGGAAGGGACGUGGUCCCAAUAUUCAAUUUCUCUUGUAGGGAUGUUGUGUGUUUAUUUAUAUUGGGUUGUUUGUUUAUAUAUUAUUUAAAUUUGUGGAAAUAUUGGGUUUUGAUGAUUUAGUAUUAAAGUGUUAUUUUUUUAUGUCAAAUAAACUUUUGAAUAUUGUGGAUAACUUUUUGAAUGAUAUUGUAUGACAGAAUGGUAUGGAAUUGAAUUCAUACAUUUGGGAUAAUGUAUGGACUGAUGUUUGCUGUGUAUUAAGUAUUGAUGCCUAUGUGGUAACAGAGAUCUCUGAGCUUCACUGAUGAUUUAAGUCACAUAGACUAAGAUAUCAGGUGGUGAGAAGCUGAUGGGGGAGUUCAUGCACACAGUGACAUAUGAGAUGCACGGCUUGGGUUGUAUUGAACUUAUCCUGAUCCUUUCUGUUGGAUUCGUUGGUAAUCUAUGGAUCAAUGGGAUUGGAGGACCCAGGAAAAAGUGCAUCAAGCUAUAUGACAUUAAACAAGCGGUUGCUGAGAGACAAUCUAGUAUUUUAAUUACUAUGUUUUGUUUUUGUGUUUUUUGUUUAGUUUUUGUUUAAUGUUAUGUGUUGUGUGGUGAAAUUGAGUUUGAUGACCCCAGAACAUGUAUAACCUGGGGACAUGUAUUCUUUUCCUAGAGUAUAUCCAACAGAUGAAACAAGACCAUCUACAACUGUAGAUGGGGAUUUUAGUACAGAUGGAUGAGUUGCUAGGAAGAGAUGAUUGAGCACAAAAUACGGUUAUCUUUCUAGUUAUUAUUUCCUUUUAGUUUGUUUUAUUUACUUUUUUUAGUUGUUUAAUUUUCUUAUAUUUUUAGUUUUAUUUUAUUUGUUGAAUUUUCUUUCUAGUUUUAUUUUGUUCUUAAAUAUUAUUGUGAG